UACGGGGGGGGCAAGCGUUGUUCGGAAUUACUGGGCGUAAAGGGCUCGUAGGUGGCCAACUAAGUCGGACGUGAAAUCCCUCAGCUUAACUGGGGAACUGCGUCCGAUACUGGAUGGCUUGAGUUUGGGAGAGGGAUGCGGAAUUCCAGGUGUAGCGGUGAAGUGCGUAGAUAUCUGGAGGAACACCAGUGGCGAAGGCGGCUUCCUGGCCUGUAACUGACGCUGAGACGCGAAAGCGUGGGGAGCGAACCGG
This 253-nucleotide ribosomal RNA is filed under the name uncultured bacterium. RNAcentral's name for it is "partial 16S ribosomal RNA". It matches the Rfam family "Bacterial small subunit ribosomal RNA", at positions 524 to 776 of the family's 1533-position model. The record is from RNAcentral.